RNAcentral lists this ribosomal RNA (468 nucleotides) under uncultured bacterium. RNAcentral's name for it is "partial 16S ribosomal RNA". It matches the Rfam family "Bacterial small subunit ribosomal RNA", at positions 28 to 507 of the family's 1533-position model. The record is from RNAcentral.
GACGAACGCUGGCGGCGUGCUUAACACAUGCAAGUCGAACGGAAAGGCCCUGCUUUUGUGGCGUUCUCGAGUGGCGAACGCGUGAGUAACACGUGAGUAACCUGCCCUUGACUUUGGGAUAACUUCAGGAAACUGGGGCUAAUACCGGAUAUGAUCUCCUGCUGCAUGGUGGUGGUUGGAAAGUUUCGGCGGUUGGGGAUGGACUCGCGGCUUAUCAGCUUGUUGGUGGGGUAGUGGCUUACCAAGGCUUUGACGGGUAGCCGGCCUGAGAGGGUGAACGGCCACAAUGGGACUGAGAGACGGCGCAGAAGCCUACGGGAGGCAGCAGUGGAGAAUAUUGCGCAAUGGGCGGAAGCCUGAUGCAGCAACGCCGCGUGCGGGAUGACGGCCUUCGGGUUGUAAACCGCUUUCGCCUGUGACGAAGAGUGAGUGACGGUAAUGGGUAAAGAAGCACCGGCUAACUACGUG